AUCCGUAUGUCCAGCCGCAAUGCCAUUACCAGUUCCUACACUUCUACUGGAGGCAUCUCUCACCUCUGGAAGAGGCGUCCCAGUGCCUCACCCUUCUCCAGCCCAGCCUCGUCCUGCUCACAGACACCAGAGAGUCCAGAAAAGAAAAUGAGAGAAGAGGACGGUCCUCAGGUAUCUGGCUCUUCCGCUCCGCCAGUAAACAAGGAGUCCCAGGGAGAACAGGGUAAGUUGAUGAACGCAUGGCAUGUGUUGGCGGUAGUGUAUCGAGGGCGCAUGGACCACAACCCACUGGAAACACGUACUGAGCCUUGAUUUGUGUGGGGCUUGGUAGUUACAGAGAGAGAUGUUCCUGUCCUUCGGGGUUUAUGGUCUGGUAAGGGAGAAAGGUUGCCCAGACUUGUAUAGCAUAACCCAGGCCACCUGGGGGGUUUGGGGUAAGGUAAGCCUAGGUGGGGGAAUCUGAGCAGACUAGGCAAUUUCUGUCCAGUAAGCAACCAUGUGCAUGCAUUUGGAGCAAUGACCACUUCACAUCAUCUUGACUGUUAGAAAUAAUCUUGCCAACACCAUCCAAGCACCCAAACCAUAGAAGAAAGAAUCUCAGAGACACCUAGUGAAAGUUCAGUAUUAAAAACUAGGCUGGAUAGACAAACCUCUCCAUUUCUGGAAGAGAGCAGGAAGAAAGUAAGUCUGAUACUUUAUUUGCAGAUACAACCAUAUGUAGGGAGCAGAACUCCUGGGAUUCUCUACCUACACCCAGCAGCUCCCAGACACGCAGACGCAAGGUUCCCCUGGUGCCCUCCAGACAACAGAUCCUGCUGAUGUUGGUAUGGUCUGUCCACCCACCCCUGCCCACGCCAGUCUGGCUCCCCUGCGUCUCAGGAACAGAAGGGUUGGUACAGGUUUCUUUCACUUCCUUCUGACUGGCUUGGCUUCUCCUUUUUCUCUUGGUAGCCUCCAGCUCCCUGGAUUGGCCGCUGGAUCACGGUCAAAGAGUAUUACCAGGAGAAGCAAGCUCAGUCACAGUGGCUGAAGAGGAUCUUCGAGGAUAAGACUGCCAUCACCUCCAGCUUUGGAGCAGUGACCCAGACCACCAGCUGUGGGACCAGUACAGGGUUUGGCAGCACCAUCUCAGCGCCCUUCACAUUCAGGGUGUCAGCAGGCCCCACUGGCAGUGGG
Manis pentadactyla (Chinese pangolin) is the source of this 1176-nucleotide long non-coding RNA. RefSeq lists it as uncharacterized. The record is from RefSeq and is a predicted model, not a curated record. The transcript is spliced from 4 exons. NCBI's taxonomy places the organism in Eukaryota, Metazoa, Chordata, Mammalia, Pholidota, Manidae.